UACGGGGGGGGCAAGCGUUGUUCGGAAUUACUGGGCGUAAAGCGCGCGUAGGCGGCUUUUCAAGUCAGACGUGAAAUCCUUAGGCUUAACCUGAGAACUGCGUUUGAUACUGUUGGGCUAGAGUGUGGAAGGGGCUACUAGAAUUCCGUGUGUAGCGGUGAAAUGCGUAGAUAUACGGAGGAACACCAGCGGCGAAGGCGGGUAGCUGGGUCAACACUGACGCUGAGGCGCGAAAGCUAGGGUAGCAGACGGG
RNAcentral lists this ribosomal RNA (253 nucleotides) under uncultured bacterium. Its description in RNAcentral is "partial 16S ribosomal RNA". It matches the Rfam family "Bacterial small subunit ribosomal RNA", at positions 524 to 776 of the family's 1533-position model. The record is from RNAcentral.